UUGAUCAAGUGAGAGAAAGCGAUAAGGAAGCGAGAGGUGAUGGGAUCUAACAGACAUCGCCAGCAUGUUGACCUGGCUUUACCUGCUCCUCGCUCUUGUGGGUGCGGCGCAAGCGGAGUACGCGCCCACGUGGGACUCCUUGGACACACGCCCGCUGCCUCCUUGGUAUGACGGCGCCAAGGUGGGCAUCUUCCUGCACUGGGGCGUCUUCUCCGUGCCAUCCUUCGGCUCCGAGUGGUUCUGGGAGUACUGGCAGGGUGGACAUGACACUGCUUAUGUGGAUUUCAUGAACAAGAACUUCCGUCCGAACUUCACGUACGCGGACUUCGCGCCGGCGUUCACGGCCGAGUUCUUCGAUCCAGACGAGUGGGCGAGUGUGUUCAACGCCUCGGGCGCUCGCUACAUCGUCCUCACCAGCAAGCACCACGAGGGCUUCACCAUGUGGCCCUCGCGCUACUCCUGGAACUGGAACAGCCUCGACGUCGGACCCAAGAGGGACUUACUAGGAGACCUGGCAAAGUCCGUCCGUUCGAAGACCCCGCACAUCCACUUCGGCCUGUACCACUCCCUCUUCGAGUGGUUCAACCCCUUGUACCUGCAGGAUAAAGCCAACAAGUUCGCCACCAACGAUUUUGUGGAGCGGAAGACCAUGCCGGAACUGUAUGAGCUGGUGAACAACUACCAACCCGAAGUGAUCUGGUCGGACGGCGACUGGGAGGCACACGACACGUACUGGAACUCGACCGGGUUCCUGGCCUGGCUCUUCAAUGACUCCCCCGUCAAGGACACGGUGGUCGUUAACGACCGUUGGGGAAUCGGGAUCUCCUGCCACCACGGAUCCUACUACACGUGCAGCGACCGGUAUAAUCCGGGUGUCCUUCAGCCCCAUAAGUGGGAGAACGCCAUGACUCUGGACAAGAAGUCGUGGGGCUACCGCCGUAAUGCUCCUGUGGGCGACUACCUCUCCAUUCACGACCUCAUCACGACACUCGCUCAGACCAUCAGCUGCGGUGGCAACUUGCUCGGUGAACGUGGGUCCCACGCACGACGGGCGUCUCCCUGUCAUCAUGGAAGAGCGUCUUCGGCAAUUCGGUUCGUGGCUCGACGUCAAUGGCCAGGCUGUGUACGACUCCGUGCCCUGGAAGCACCAGAACGACACGCUCACGCCCGGAGUUUGGUACACAAGCAAAGAUGACCUGGUUUAUGGGAUAGUGCUGACCUGGCCCAAACAAAACAAACUGACCCUCGGUGCCGUGACCUCGGCCAAGGACGUGAAGCUACUUGGCUACAACGACCCCCAACUUCCUGUUCUUCAGGUAAAGUCUGUAGGGGCAGGAAUUCAGGUGACCUUCCCGCCCAUGUCGGAAGUGUCGAGCCAGUGGGCGUGGGUGCUGGUCAUGUCGGCCGUGACGCCGGCAUAGACGAUUCCUUCUGCAUCUCGAUGAAAGGGCCUCUCCAUGUGGCACACUUCAGGAUUUCAUAGCGCGCAUCACUAUGAGGAGGCGCGUGAUUCAGUAAAGAGAAAUUGGUUAUCACUAUUUUUUAUUAUUCAAUAUCGGCUGAGUAAUAUUAAAAUACGUAAUGGAAGAAAUGUUAUCUGAUUAAAGGAGACGAAUUAAAUUAAAAAUAAGAAAGAAAAA
Molecule: unclassified non-coding RNA, 1640 nt
Filed under: Penaeus chinensis
Lineage: Eukaryota; Metazoa; Arthropoda; Malacostraca; Decapoda; Penaeidae
Description: alpha-L-fucosidase-like, transcript variant X1
Source: RNAcentral